UAAAGGGAACUAACUCAUGGACAGAUUGGGGCUGCAAAGAGUACACGGCAUCUUUGAGGAGGAAACUGCUGCUGUUCAGUGUCAGUCACUGAUAUUUCAGAAGUGCUUUCUUUGGGGGAAGUAAAGACAGCAACAAAAAAGGCGAUGAACAGGACUUGUAUCUUCUGCAAGUCUGAAGUCUGCGCCUGUCUAUCAGAACUGUGAGAAGACUGGAUAUAUUCAACAUCCUGGUGGUUCCGUGUUACAGAUUGUCUUGUGCUGGUUCUGGGAAGUCCAAAGUGUCAUUGCUAAAAACUGAGAUCCCCAGAAGACAUGGAGAGCCUUACCUGGACUGCAUACACCGGCAUUACAGUGUAGAAUGGAAGACAGCAUUUUACAGAUUAUCAAUAAGGGUCCCUGGAGGAAAGUCUGCAGGAGAGGACCCGUCACUGCUGGGCCAUGGUUUGCAGAGUACUCCCUGUCAGUCAGCACUGUGCCCACCAUGAAGCAGGAUGUGCCAGGCAUGAGGGAGGAGGAUGAGUGAGAGCAAAGUACCCACAUCUGCUGGGGAGGGGUAAGUGGGGCAGCCGAGCUCAGCCCAGGCAUCAGCCACAUCUCUUGGAGAAUACUUGUCCAUGUACUGCUCUUACACUGAAACCUGAAGUAGAGCAUUUUAUUUUGGCUGGUGAGGUGCAAUGAUAAUGUAUCUCAUAAAUUCCAAGUCUGGAAUAAUUUCUCAAGACAUAACAGAGCUGUUUAGUUGUAAAGACAAACAGUUGUAUAGAGGAACCCAUUGAGUUUUGCUCAAGAGAAAAAGCAUUGAAACAACUCUCAGACAGAACAGCUGAGCCCAUUGUCAAAUCAGAGGUAAUAUUUGAUUUAUGUCAAUAAGUACUUAUUUCUAUCUUCGAUCCCACUCAGAGCCUCGUCUGGAGUGUAGCACAGCCUCAAGGCUCUGGGGCCUUCAGAAAGGGGUGCCAGUGUCCCUGGGAAGUGCAUACAAGAAACUGAAUUCCAGUCGUCUUCUCUUAUUUUGACUUUUUCUGUCUCCUUUGCAUGUAUGAAGUGGUUAGCAGUCCACCUCCCGCUCUGUAGGGCAGACUGACUCUGAAUUUGUGUUAUUCACAAAUAAUAAAUGAAUAAAUCAUCUUUAUUCACAUAAUUCUAUCUAAUCAUAGUCCUCAGCCAUUCACAAAUUGUUGGAAACACAAAGCAAUUUUUACUGAGCAGUAUUCUUGGUGCCAGAUGUGGUCCUUUGACCAUACUGGUGUCUAGCAGCUAUAAUUAACUGGCAUUUUGAGGGCUAAGGGAAAAGUAAGGAUAAAAUUCUGAGUUUGUUGUUUUAAGUAGAACUUAGGAUACAGCAUCAUUUCUACCAGUCCUGGAGCUCAUACCCAGUGGCUUUCAUUGUACUGAGCGUGUUGUGGUUCUGUUUUGUUCCUCCAGGCAGUAAUAGCUCAGCAUGAGAUAGUCUUCUUGUUUUCCUUUGUAACAUUUGGUAGCGUUUCAUCCAGCAGUAUCUGUAAUGGAAGGCAGGUUUGACUGUUUUGGACUCCCACUGGAUUUUAAAUAUGUUUUCAUCAAGUUUGUUUAUGAAGUGCUUUCACAACUAUAACCUUCUUUUAUGAUGACUUCCUUGUUUUACAUAUGUGAAAAUAUUUUUAUGUUUUGUGUCUCUUUCCUAAUUCUAAACAAUAUAUUUUGGUGCCACAACAAUAUAUUUUCCUAUCUGCACAUGAAGUUAUCAAGAAUUGUUGUACAGCUCACUUCUGUAUACCUGUUAACAAGACAUACUGUUUUUAUGAAGCACAGGCUUACUGCUUUGAGCAAUAUGUACAUAGUCAGGACUUACAAUAUAACAUUAUCCAUCUAUCCUAACCAUUAGAAAAUAAAAUCAUCU
Gallus gallus (chicken) is the source of this 1879-nucleotide long non-coding RNA. The record is from Ensembl. Lineage: Eukaryota; Metazoa; Chordata; Aves; Galliformes; Phasianidae.